UAUUGGUCAAUGGACGCGAGUCUGAACCAGCCAAGUAGCGUGAAGGAUGACUGCCCUAUGGGUUGUACACUUCUUUUAUAUGGGAAUAAAGUUUUCCACGUGUGGAAUCUUGCAUGUACCAUAUGAAUAAGGAUCGGCCAACUCCGUGCCAGCAGCCGCGGUAAUACGGAGGAUCCGAGCGUUAUCCGGAUUUAGUGGGUUUAAAGGGAGCGUAGGUGGACAGUUAAGUCAGUUGUGAAAGUUUGCGGAUCAACCGUAAAAUUGCAGUUGAUACUGGCUGUCUUGAGUGCAGUAGAGGUGAGCGGAAUUCGUGGUGUAGCGGUGAAAUGCUUAGAUAUCACGAAGAACUCCGAUUGCGAAGGCAGCUCACUGGACUGCAACUGACACUGAUGCUCGAAAGUGUGGGUAUCAAA
This 413-nucleotide ribosomal RNA is filed under the name uncultured bacterium. RNAcentral describes it as "bacterial SSU rRNA". It matches the Rfam family "Bacterial small subunit ribosomal RNA", at positions 362 to 772 of the family's 1533-position model. The record is from RNAcentral.